This 578-nucleotide ribosomal RNA is filed under the name Hemigomphus heteroclytus. RNAcentral's name for it is "partial 12S ribosomal RNA". Lineage: Eukaryota; Metazoa; Arthropoda; Insecta; Odonata; Gomphidae. The record is from RNAcentral.
GGAAGUGAAAUUUAUUGGUUAUAGUAGUUAAAUUUAUUUUAUUUAUUAUAUUUAUAAUUAUUAGGUGAAAUUUUGAUUAUUUGGUAAAUAUAUUUUUUGAAGCUGCGAAAUUUAUUUUAAAGACAAGGAUUAGAUACCCUUUUAUUUUAAAUGUAAAUAUUAACCUGGGUAGUAUUAGUUAUGUUCUUGAAACCCAAAGAAUUUGGCGGUAUUUUAGUCCUUUCAGAGGAACCUGUCCCGUAAUCGAUAGUCCACGAUAAUGAUUUACUUAUAUUUGUUUUCAGUUUGUAUACCUCCGUCAUCAGCGAAUCUUUUUAGAGUAUUAAUUUUCUUUAUACAAUGAAUGUAGUAUGUCAGGUCAAGGUGCAAUUUAUAUAUAAGAGGAGAUGGGUUACAAUAAUUUUAUUUAUAUGGAUUAAAUUAUUUAUUUUUUUUAUGAAGGUGGAUUUGAUAGUAAUUUCAAUUAUUUAUUGGAAUGAUUNNNNNNNNNNNNNNNNNNNNNUCAUCGCCCGCGCUCUCAUUCUUAAAGUGAGAUAAGUCGUAACAUAGUAGGCGUAUCGGAAGAUGUGCCUAGUUUG